Molecule: ribosomal RNA, 494 nt
Filed under: uncultured bacterium
Lineage: Bacteria
Description: partial 16S ribosomal RNA
Rfam family: Bacterial small subunit ribosomal RNA
Source: RNAcentral
GACGAACGCUGGCGGCGUGCCUAAUACAUGCAAGUAGAACGCUGAAGGAGGAGCUUGCCUCUCUGGAUGAGUUGCGAACGGGUGAGUAACGCGUAGGUAACCUGCCUGGUAGCGGGGGAUAACUAUUGGAAACGAUAGCUAAUACCGCAUAAUAGUAGAUGUUGCAUGACAUUUGCUUAAAAGGUGCAAUUGCAUCACUACCAGAUGGACCUGCGUUGUAUUAGCUAGUUGGUGAGGUAACGGCUCACCAAGGCAACGAUACAUAGCCGACCUGAGAGGGUGAUCGGCCACACUGGGACUGAGACACGGCCCAGACUCCUACGGGAGGCAGCAGUAGGGAAUCUUCGGCAAUGGACGGAAGUCUGACCGAGCAACGCCGCGUGAGUGAAGAAGGUUUUCGGAUCGUAAAGCUCUGUUGUAAGAGAAGAACGAGUGUGAGAGUGGAAAGUUCACACUGUGACGGGAUCUUACCAGAAAGGGACGGCUAACUACGU